GGUUCUCUAGCUCAGUGACAGAGCAUCUACUUUGCACGCAGAAGGUCCCUGGUUCAAUUCCCGCAUAUCCUGGUAGGAGAGCAGCCG
Molecule: non-coding RNA, 87 nt
Organism: Podarcis lilfordi (Lilford's wall lizard)
Lineage: Eukaryota; Metazoa; Chordata; Lepidosauria; Squamata; Lacertidae
Source: the annotation of a GenBank genome assembly